GCCGGGGUCGCCUAGCCUGGUAGGGCGCAGUCACCGAUUCGAUGCGAGGAUUGGGAUGAAUUACGCGUAUGCCUGGAACCUUGGCUUUUCAGAAGUUUCUUCUGAACGGAAAGCCUGUGACCGUAAUGGUCUCGUGAGUUCAAAUCUCACCCCCGGCG
This 158-nucleotide transfer RNA is filed under the name Nitrososphaerota archaeon. RNAcentral's name for it is "tRNA-OTHER". Lineage: Archaea; Thermoproteati; Nitrososphaerota. The record is from RNAcentral.